This is a non-coding RNA of Pangasianodon gigas (Mekong giant catfish), 73 nucleotides long. Lineage: Eukaryota; Metazoa; Chordata; Actinopteri; Siluriformes; Pangasiidae. The record is from the annotation of a GenBank genome assembly.
UUGAACAAAUCUGGGAGGCUGUUCCUCCGAAUCACAUCCCUCCAUCUCCAUUGUUCUCUCUCAAUCACUUAUG